GCUACACAUGCAGUCGAGCGGUAACAGAAGUAGCUUGCUACUUUGCUGACGAGCGGCGGACGGGUGAGUAAUGCUUGGGAACAUGCCUUGAGGUGGGGGACAACAGUUGGAAACGACUGCUAAUACCGCAUAAUGUCUACGGACCAAAGGGGGCUUCGGCUCUCGCCUUUAGAUUGGCCCAAGUGGGAUUAGCUAGUUGGUGAGGUAAUGGCUCACCAAGGCAACGAUCCCUAGCUGGUUUGAGAGGAUGAUCAGCCACACUGGAACUGAGACACGGUCCAGACUCCUACGGGAGGCAGCAGUGGGGAAUAUUGCACAAUGGGCGCAAGCCUGAUGCAGCCAUGCCGCGUGUGUGAAGAAGGCCUUCGGGUUGUAAAGCACUUUCAGUCAGGAGGAAAGGUUAGNAGUUAAUACCUGCUAGNUGUGACGUUACUGACAGAAGAGCACCGGCUAACUCCGUGCCAGC
This 466-nucleotide ribosomal RNA is filed under the name bacterium fme08x95p461. RNAcentral describes it as "bacterial SSU rRNA". It matches the Rfam family "Bacterial small subunit ribosomal RNA", at positions 48 to 512 of the family's 1533-position model. The record is from RNAcentral.